CUCCAGGCCUAGUGAGACAUGGCAGAGGCCAGGGCAGGGAGAAUGUGAGGCUGGGGCGAGGGUCUAUGACGAGGCCGCCUGACGCCUCAGCACCAGGUGGACACAGUUGUGUGCAUGUCCCUCUUGGCCAAUGACAGGUCCGGUUCAGGUGGCCCUUGCCCAGGGACAGAGGCUUCUCCUGGCUCCGUGCCUUCCAGCUUUCAGUCCUGGUGUGCACAGCGUCACCGGGCUUCCGAUAGCUGCCGGCCUCAACUCUGGGAGAGGGCAGGUGGGGCGGCAGGAGGUGCCUGUGCUUUCCUGGGCAUGAGCUGGCAUGAGAGGUGCACGUGCUCCUGCUCACCUGGGCGGCGCCUCUCAACUGUUAGGUGUGGGGUUAGGGUUCACCUGACGAUUUGCCGCAGUCCAGCGGACCCGAGAGUUGCGUGCAGAGCUGGGGUUGCGGUGCGAGUGGGGAAGGGUCUGAAGGUGUGGGUGUAGGGGGCUGUGCUGGGGCCUGCAGGCUGGGGUGUGCGGUGUGAGUGGGGUGCUUUUGUAGUCUAAGGGGUGAUGUGCCAGUCGUUGUGUGGUGUCAGGUGUCAGUCAUCGUGUGGUGUCAGGGUCUCUUCUACUCGGUGCUAAGGGCCAGCAGGAUGGAGAGGGGUAGGGGCUUCUCUGGGUCGAGGGCCACAGGGGGCUGGUGGGGGUGGGAGUGCUGAAUGCACAGGGUGAUGCUGGGCUGCGGGCAGCAGAUGUGCUGUGGACAGUCAGGGUCGGGUCACCUGCGGCGAGCGGGGCUUCUGUAGGUGCUCCCAGGGCCCUGGUGAUGUGGAAGCUGUUCUCAAAUUCUGGGGUGUUGUGCUGCGGUGGGCAUGUACCUAGGGUGUUAUCAAGGGCUGUGCCCACUUUUAGGGGCACUGGACAAGAGUCGGGGUGUCAGAGCAGCUGCUUGAGCUCGGCCCUUGGGGUGUCCUGCCCUGGGGGCGGCUGCAGGGCCGCUUGUGUCCCUGGGUGUUGCUGCCUGCUGUGCGGCCUUCCCAGUGAUGUUUGUGUGUGUGUGUGUGUUGGGGGGGUUCCAUGGGAAGCAGGCUGGGGGGCUGGGCUGCUCCGGGUUUCUGAGGCAACAGCAGGGAGGGGCCAGGAAACUGCAGCUCAGGAAGGAAGGCCGGCCUUGCAGGAGGGGGCCUGGGGCCAGCUUGGGCUGAGCAGGCGCCAGACAUUCUGUGCUGCGGCCCCGGCCCCCACUGGCUGGGAGCUCCUGCCCAAGUUCCACUGGCCCCACCCUUGUCUCCACCUCCAUGCUUGUAUGGCUGCCUUUAUUCAGACCUUGGUGGCUUGGGCUUGGGUCUGUGGGUAACCUGGUCCUGUGCUUAUGUGAUCCCCGG
RNAcentral lists this long non-coding RNA (1361 nucleotides) under Pan troglodytes (chimpanzee). RNAcentral describes it as "long non-coding RNA NONPTRT009057". Lineage: Eukaryota; Metazoa; Chordata; Mammalia; Primates; Hominidae. The record is from RNAcentral.